Oryctolagus cuniculus (rabbit) is the source of this 3435-nucleotide non-coding RNA. The record is from RefSeq and is a predicted model, not a curated record. Lineage: Eukaryota; Metazoa; Chordata; Mammalia; Lagomorpha; Leporidae.
UAGGAAUCCGAUGCCAUCCUCUCUCACUAAAGACACUGAUGACAGAGUGCAGAAGCCGUGUUCAGUGUGGGUGUGGCCUGGGUUCCCUCCCUCCUGGCUGUGUUUGAGGGAGACAUAAUUUGGUCACCCUUGGGCAUCUUACACUUAGGUGGAAGCAGGUGUACCUUGUGCUGAACAGAGAGAUGUUGUGUCAACAGCCAGGGCUAAAUCCUGGGACCUGUGCAUUCCCUCAUAAGAUGUGCACACCUGAGCCCCAACUCCUCAUGCACCAACAAUACCACAGCAGGAAGAACAAGCAUGACCCUUGCCCCUGCAGCAGGAGCUAGUUUUAUGGUCACUUAACACUUGCAUUGACAGGUGGGAUGGAUCACUCUGAAGAAAUCAUUGGAUGAUGCUCUCAGUAGAAGACGUGGACUUAUGCCAGGGAAAAGCAUCAGAGUUUGAGGGUCAUGCAAGUCCAAUUCCAUUUCUACAUAACAAAAUGUUUUUUCUAUUGUGUUUCUUUGAAGUAGAAGUUUUCUAUUUAUUUUUAUUUCUUUUUAUUCACCAUUUUCUACAUCUUGAAAAUUGAUUGAUUCUUCAUUGUUCUAUGUGUUUUUUGAAUUCCUCAUUUUGUUCCUAUGUUAUUAUUGAUAUUGUUGAGUGUUCCUCUGUGUACUUUUCUAGGUUGAACAACAUGCAUACCCAACCUCAGGACACCAGAAUAUAUAAGCAAAUGUUGACAGCUCUGAAGGGAUAAAGAGCAAUGGAACAAACAGAAUGUAUUACUACUCCACUUUCAAGAGUGGUAGAUUUGAACAAUAUUAUAAAUCAACUUUUCCUAACAGUUAGACAGAGAGCAUUCUACCUGACAGCAGAACAUGUGUUCUUCUCAACAGCUGUCAACAAUUCUCCAGAAUUUUAGGAGUCCACUGAAAGGGGAUGAUUUGGAAUGGCAGACUUUUGACCCAGCUAAAGAAAGUCUCCUCCCAACUGAUGUUGAGCUCUCCCAACUGAUGUUGAGCUCCGUAUCAAGAACUGCCAGCUGAGGGAUCCAUGCUACACUCCUCUGCCAAGGCAGAGUGGACAGAGAGAAAGGUCUUCCUUCUAUUGGUUCACACUCGAAUGGCCGCUGCGGCCAGCGCACCGCGUUGAUCUGAAGCCAGGUGCUUCUCCUGGUCUCCCAUGUGGAUGCAGGGCCCAAGCACUUGGGCCAUCCUCCACUGCCUUCCCGGGACACAGCAGAGAGCUGGACUGGAAGAGGAGCAACUGGGACAGAAUCCAGCACCCCGAUUGGGACUAGAACCCAGUGUGCUGUUGCCACAGGCAGAGCAUUAGUCUAUUGAGCUGCGGAGCUGGCCAGUUAAUUGACUUUUACGGUGUCUAGAACAGAUGAAGAAAAAUAAGUAGUCUCUUCAAUACAAAGUGUUUGGAAAAGUCAACCAAUUCUUUUUGCAUUUGAAGAGAAAUUAUCCAGAUAACAUUGAGAGCCUGGAGUGCUUCAUGAAAUUUAUGGGGUAAUGUGAGGGUAUUUUAAGGAUGAAAAGAGAGGAGGUUGUAGGCAUUUCUUUAAUUUCUUUAUUUGCUUACUUAUUAAUUAACAGGGAGAGAGAGAGGGAGAGAUCUUCCACCUGCUGUUUCACUUCCCCAGAUGGUGGCAUCAGCCAGGGCUUAAUCAUGCCAAAUCCAGGAGUCAGGAGCUUCUUCAUGGUCUCCUGCCUGGGCAGCCAGGGCACAAGUACUUGGGUCAUCUUCCACUGGUUUUGAAAGGCCAUUAGCAAAGUGUUGGAUUGGAAGUGCAGCAGCCAAGACUAAAAUCAGUACUCAUAUAGGAUGCUGGAGUCAUAGUUGGCAUUUUACGUGUUACACCACAACAGCAGCUGCUGUAGGUGUUUCUUUAAGAAAAAACUCCCAAGUUCUGGGUUUAGCUGUAGUGAUCUUCUGCAUAAAUAGAAGGUUUACACAGCCAGUUUCUGCAUAGCUUUAUCUUGCAGGUGCAUCACCAUUCUACAGCAGUAAUAAAAGCAACAUGCUAGUAUUUCUGUACCUCAAAUGAAACCAGAGAAAUUAGUGAUUUUUCUGCCAGAAAACUUUCAGUUUAAAGCCAGGAAGAGUCACUGAUUAAGACUUUGUGUGCAUGGGGCUUCCACUUUAGUGUAGAGGAUAAAGCCACCGCCUGCCUUGGCAGCAUCAUAUGGACAUGGGUUUGAGUCCCAGAUGCUCCACUUCUGAUCCAUCUUUGAUAAUGCACCUGGGAAAUGAGCAGAGGAUGGCCCAAGUCCUGGGCUCCUGCAACCACUUGGGAGACCUGGAAGAAGCUCUUGGCUCUUGACUUGGGUGGGCCCGUCUCUGGCUGUUGCAGCAAUUUGGGGAGUGAACCAGCAGAUGGAAGAUCUCUCUGUCUCUCCCUCUCUCUCUUUGUAAGGCUAUCUUUCAAAUAAAUAAAUAAAUAUUUAGCAAAAAUAAAAAAGACUUAGAAUGAGGCCAGACAUUGCAUUUUAAGACAUGUUGAGUUCGGAAGCAGUCCACACAGCAGACUCAUAGAAUGACAAUCAUUUUAAAUAGCAUAUAGAUGUAGCAUUAGGUGUGAGAAUAUUAAGUAUCAUAUCUAGUUGUCAUCUCUUUUUCAAAAUGGGAGGGCACUCUAGAGAUUGUAGUUCUAGCAGAGUCUUUUUGUGCCAGUUACUAUCCAUCAUUCAUUAAAAAUCUUUAUAACUUCUUUGCUUUAUCUGAUUUGCUUUAGAGUUCACACCAGUGACUCACUACAUCUUGACUUUUGUUUCUUCCUUAUGAUGAAGAUCUAGUUCUGAAAUCACAGCUGAUCAAUCAUGUUCCAUCUGUCUCUUGUUGCAAAGUUGUAUUUGACCUGGUUUUUCAUGCAGACCCAUGUCAAGAUAGAAACAUUUGAUGAGAAGAAGUCAGUGUAAAUAUGUUUUUAGUCACAUUUGAUUAACAAGGAAGAUUUAGGAGUGGUCAUCAGGCUAACUUUAUCUGUAGUCCAUUGCUAAACUUAAUCUAUCUGUUCUGUAUACAGAAGUCGUUGCCCUGAAGUACCUAGGCAGGAUUAUUUUGCUGGGAAUUGUACUUCUGUAGAAGUAUGCCAUUCAAUAGGCCCAAAGUUCAAAAUAAAAGUGUUUAACAAAACCAACAAGAUGAUAACAAAUUGAGUUACAUCUAUGCAUAUAAGCUAUACAGAAGUUAUAUGUGAAAACAAUGAACAAGGUUACAAGCGAAUAGCAGAAUACCAUAAUUAACAUCAUAUAAGUACACAGGAAAUGCUUAUUAACCUCAGUGAAAGUUUUCAGGCCCAUGAACAUGGGCUGGUAUUGUGGCCCAGUGGUUCAGCUGCCAUCUUUGAUGCCUACAUCCCAUAUGAGUGCCAAUUUGAGUCACUUCUGAUUUGGCUCCAUGCUAAUGGACCUGGGAAAGCAGUAGAAGAUGACAUAAGUGCUUGGA